Non-coding RNA from Paramuricea clavata, 820 nucleotides. The record is from the annotation of a GenBank genome assembly. NCBI's taxonomy places the organism in Eukaryota, Metazoa, Cnidaria, Anthozoa, Malacalcyonacea, Plexauridae.
CAUUAAUUUAAGGUGGCAGGCGUGAUUUACUAACAGAUCAGGAAAUUCCAUGAAAAAAAUUGGCGACGUCAGCUGACAGACAAAGUGAAUACUCGGCAUUUAUAAAUAUUUUAUUAUGUGCAUAGUAUUGGUUUGAAGGUACUUUUAUUUAAAUAAAAGAAUUCUCGUGGUAGUUGCUUGCUAAAAACGAGAAAAUUGUAUCGCAGUUAGUGUCCGUGAAAUUUACAUCUACCAAUGGAUUCAAUAUACAGGGUGUAUAAAAAAACUGAACAGAUUUGAAAUUGCUCUCAAUUUCGAAAAACAGCUCGUGGUAUCAGGUGUUUGUUAUAUAUAGAUUCCUUGAGUACACAUAAUGUAGAAUAAUGAAAAAAAAAUACUGGAACUCAAAUUGUGUAAACCAGGGGGGGGGGUGUUUCUUUUCAAACAAACUAAAAAUGGCUUGCGCACGAAAUUUAAAAGCUUUAAUCGUAUCUUGAGUUAAUGGAUGGAAAAUUUGUUGGGUUUUUAAUUACUGUACAAAAUUUCAGACAAUUUGCUUUAGUUUAAGCACUUUAACUAUUCAUUUUUUCCUAAAAAAAAUCAGCCUUUCGCAUGCUUAAUUAAUGCCUUUACCUAAUUUGCAUAUUGCUGACAUAUGCAAAUUAGGCAAAGGCAUUAUUAAUUAAGCAUGCAAAAGCUGAUUAUUUUAGGAAAAAUGUACGUUUGCGUGAAUAGUUAAAGGGGCUUAAACUGAAGCAAAUUGUCUGAAAUUUCGUGCAGCAAUUAAACACCCAACACAUUUUUCACCCAUUAACUCAAAAUACGAUUAAAGCUUUUAAAU